Long non-coding RNA from Rhinopithecus roxellana (golden snub-nosed monkey), 3022 nucleotides. RefSeq lists it as uncharacterized. The transcript is spliced from 3 exons. The record is from RefSeq and is a predicted model, not a curated record. Lineage: Eukaryota; Metazoa; Chordata; Mammalia; Primates; Cercopithecidae.
CAAGAGUGAAACUCCGUCUCAAAAACAAAAAACAAAAAAACCCCAAAAAACCUUGAUACUAGGGGUGGGGAUUUUUCCCUCAGAGUGGAAUGAGGAGGCCUCUGGGAUUCUGGAUUUAUUCAGUCAUUUUUGCUCCAAGUUCUGAAGAUGGGAAAUGGUGCAGGAGGACUGAGCUCCAAUAUAUCUCAGUCUCAAUAUGUGGUCAUCAGGAUGCUCCUCAAGGAACUUAAUCCGUGAGAUCAGACAGAUUUUCAACAGGUAAAUCUACUUUGAGGAUCACAUCAGAGGCACAAAUGGAUGCAGUGAGGAAGAACCGUCACUCCAUCGGCAGUUGGGGAAUGAGUGAAGGAGCGGAGAAGCAGCCUGAGAACCAAAUUCUGCAAACAUUAGCAACUUAUAAAACAUCCACAGAGUGUGAGUGCAUAACAAAUAAAAACAGAGAAGAGUGAAUGACAACAUCCUGUCUAGGUAUGCAGGGGGAAAAAACAUGUUUCCUUACACUUAGAGACUCAGGCAAAACGAGCCUGCAGGGGAAUGGCAAAUAGGGCUUGAAGGAAAUUUAGUAAAAAAUAUUUGGAAUUUGUAGAGCCUCCUGAGUAUACGGAGGCUUAGAAGAAUGUCCUCUUUGGACCAGGCCUAAUUUAGCAUUGCCUGAAAUAAUCCUAGGCUCUGCCUUUGGUAAGCCCUGUGGUGUGAUGAGGGUCAUCCACCCUCAUCACUGCUCUGGGGAAUAAUUGUUUGGGUCCGAAGUGUCUGCCCCUUACUGCUGCCCCUUGUUCUUUAAUCUCUGUACUCCCUGUUCUUCCAGGAAUGCACCUGGCAUAUAUUUGAUGGUUGACAUGUGUGUUUUGAAUGAAUGAAUGGCCAAAUUCUUUGGUAGGAAAUAACAGGCAGUAAGCACAGUGCUUAAGAGUACCAGACAGAGGUAGGUUCAAAUUCUGGUUGUUACCACUUACAGAUUCUGGUUGCUGAAGGUUGUGUAACCUUAGGCAAGUUAAUUAUGUUCCCUGGACCUUGGUUUUCCAAUCUGUAUAAUGACACCAAUCUCAGAGUGUUGUGAGGAUUAAGUGGAAGAGUGUUUGUGGUAUGCCUGAUAUAGUGUCUGGGGCAUAAGUAGUAUUCAAUAAAUGGUAGAUAUUGUUGGAUAAUAAGGCACUUUCACCUUCCAGAGUAUUUGCAAUUUAACAGAGUAACUUAAAGGAAAACAGACCUGCUGUUGGAGUUGAAGUUAGGGAGAUAAGAGGACAGGGCAAUGGGUUGAAAGAGAGUUGGACUGUGGAGCUCAAACAGGGUCAAGGCGAGCAGUUUGGGAACAAGUCUAAGAAGGGUUUGGAGACCUGCUAUGUAGCAUUGGAUGGGUCUGAACUUGGAAUAAGCUAUAUAGAAUCAAGGAGGAUGACUCUAGCCUGGUCCUUUAAGCUAAGGAGGCCUUGGUUUUUUCACUUAAAAAUGAAGGUGUUAGACUAUUAGGUGGUCUCUAACAUUUCAUGGUUCUAGGGCACACUGAAAUUGAGAUAGAUUUUAAAGGGCAUGUAAAUAAUCCAGAAGAUCAAUGACAGGACUAGAGUUGGAGUUCUGAACAGUGCUAUCGCGCUGGAGGGUAAGGGCAUUUAAUUCCUCAUGCAUUCUUCAUGUAAUUAACUUUAGUGUUUGAGGGAAAAUGAAGAAUGAGGGAAGAAUUUUUUUUCUUAACUGACUUGCUGCUUUUGAAGACCCGUGUUACCAUAAGAUUGAUGGGAAACGUAUUGCCUCUGUCCUCAUGGUGCUCAGGCUCAGAAAUUCAUUAGAAUUCCGUCUUGAGAAAGACAAUGCUCCAUGCUUUGUAUACUAUCACACACGGGAAGUAAUAUUAUCAUUAAAAAAUUAUCAUGUUGAAUUUUUGAUGGUGCUCUGCUUGUUUGCAAUUUUAUUAUUCAUAGGUGUUAGCUCUGUAAUUACAAAUCAUGUUGUUAGGAUUUUGGUGCAGAUUCUGACAUCAAAUUUGGUUUGUCAAUAGAUGGGAUGAGCAUGUCAAGGAAAUAGAGGAUGAUGACAAUGGAUAAAAUCCCAUUUGGUUUCUACAGCUAAUAAUCUUGUUCAGAGUACAAGAUUAUUUGAACACUGUAAUACGAUUUCCACAUUAAAAGCACGUUCCAGUCCAUUCAAAAAUUAAGUAAACAGAGCAGAGGCAUACAGUUCCACUAAUCCACGAAUGUCAUAAAUCUAAUGAUUUUAGCAGCUCAAGGAAAACAGAGAUUAUUGUAAAACUUCACAUCUGAAUGUGUUAUUGCCUCUACCAAUGAUUAUUUGUCAUUUAUCUGACACUAAAGGUGUAAACUCCACAUUACAGGAGUCAAAGGUUUUGCAUAAAACAAAACAAAGCCUCUUUCUCCAAGGCUUACACUCUGAAAGUGUGCCAGGAACUUAUGAGAAUGUGUUAAAGAAAUCAAUGAGAGGUGUGGGACUAAUAUGCCUGGAGUUGGCCUUGGAAAGGACACAUUUUUUAUAAAGGAAAACCAGGAAUAUAUAUGUACAAACUAUGCAAACUUUUCUAAGAUGAAGUAUGUUUAGAAAAAUCUGGGAUCUCCUUUGGCCAUCAAUCAUUCAUGGUACAAAAUGGUCCCCGACAUCUAUACGUUCCUGUAUUUUUCCUUCCAGAGUUUAGAAAGCGAUGGAAGAAUAAUAGAAGGAACACAUUUAAAUCUUUGAUUUAUCUAUGGAAGCAUUAGACUUUCAAGCAUAACUUUUCAUAAGUUAGUGAUAGUUUCCUGAAAUCUUACUUUUAGCACUGUAGGUUUAAAAAUACUGCUUAUUUUAUACGUAAUAGAACUUGUUCAGAAGGUCAAACAGAAAUGAAACUUGGUCAGGAAGAGUUCAUGCUGUUUACAUGAUCUCUCCUCUAGGCACCAAAAUUUUCGGUGCACUUGUAAAUUGGAUCUGACCAGUCUUAGCAACAGCAGUAGAAAUGGCAGCCUUAUUUAUGGAAUUCCUCUCUUAUUUGGAGUAUUCGAAUUCUUUGAAUUCUUCUUUUUUUUUUUUUUUU